CGCUGCCCAGUCCUAGAAACAGGCUAAGUCCUUUUGGGGCUUUAAAGCAGCGCCAGCCUGAAAACACCAGACUGAAGAGUGGAUGAUGGAUGGGGGCAGGCUAGGAACUGGCUGGGAGCCCUGAAUCACUCUGCAGUUCAGGCAUCACCACACUGGAGGAGACUUUGGCAGCGUCCAUGCUUACCUUCCAGCUGAAUCAUCCCGCUGGGCUGGGCUGAGCCGCACCUGGCCAGGGACAGGACGCCAGAGAAGGAGGCUGCCCUGCCAAGGGACGGUGCCUGGCUGGGACUGGGGCGAGCUCUGGGGCUGGGGCUGCCGCUGGUUCCCAAGCACGGGCACCGCCACCCUCCUGCCUGCUGAAGGCAGAUGCGUCUGGUCCGUCUCUGAGAAAAAAGCAGAUUGACCAGACACAGGGUCAGGAGGUUUAUGGGGUCACUCUUUUCCCCUCUGUGUCGCGGAGUGGAGCCAGUGCCCUGCCAUCCCUUGGGAAGCAGAAGCUCGGAGCCCGGCCAUCAGUGGGUGCAACUGCUGCCACUGGGCUCGUCUUAGAAGUCGUGGCCUGUUUCCAAAACACAGCGUGCUGGACAUGGUACAGACACAGUCUGCAUGCUUACAGGCUGAGCCAGGGGGUUAAGUGUCUUCACCGGGCUUCAUCUCUCCAUCUGUAUCCAGUGGUGUCCAGCUGGAUCCAGGCUGGUUUUGCAUGGGUGAGUACAGAAGUCUGGCCAGAGUUUGGUGUCCGUCCUCCCAUCCUUUGUGCACCACAGCGGACGUCUUCACCUCCGCUUUGGAGCAGCACCUGUCCCUUCAGUUGAAAACUGCAGUCUGAACACAGAGAUCAAUUCGUAUUAGGGGCAGCUGGAAGUGGCACAGAGGGAACUUUUCUUCAUUUGCAUCUAAAGUGGUGUUCUGACAUCACUGUAGCUCCUUAGAGGGUCCUAUAAACAUGGUAUUUGAUGGACAUGGCACAGAAAGGACAACAGCAGACUAUUAUGUCUGGUUUUGGCAGUGUGAUGCUACCUUUCCCUGUUCCAUGGGGAGAAGAGAAACUUGUAGGUCGAUUUGAUCUUUUUUGGCAUAGCACAUUCUGCGCACUGCAGUGCCACCCAUGCUCGUUUGGUAAGGCUACCUUCCCAUCAUUUUGAAGAGAUGUUACUGAUUUUAUUAAUGAUUAGAUCAACUCAUCAUGCAACGAGAGCAGUGUUCAGGCAUCUCCUCGAGACUGGAAUAUGUUCUUUGAUCCUGAACCAUAGCAUUUGUGCCCUCUUCUAAAUCCUGUAUUUCAAAUAAAUCUUGCAACCAAGGUGGGAAGGAUCUACCG
Molecule: long non-coding RNA, 1321 nt
Filed under: Anser cygnoides (Swan goose)
Lineage: Eukaryota; Metazoa; Chordata; Aves; Anseriformes; Anatidae
Description: lncRNA (ENSACDG00005002714.1)
Source: RNAcentral